RNAcentral lists this microRNA (26 nucleotides) under Ananas comosus (pineapple). RNAcentral's name for it is "microRNA s1689_c106b". Lineage: Eukaryota; Viridiplantae; Streptophyta; Magnoliopsida; Poales; Bromeliaceae. The record is from RNAcentral.
AUUGUAUCAUUAACCAUUUCUUUUUC